This 422-nucleotide ribosomal RNA is filed under the name uncultured Bacteroidota bacterium. RNAcentral's name for it is "bacterial SSU rRNA". It matches the Rfam family "Bacterial small subunit ribosomal RNA", at positions 355 to 774 of the family's 1533-position model. Lineage: Bacteria; Pseudomonadati; Bacteroidota. The record is from RNAcentral.
UGAGGAAUAUUGGUCAAUGGACGCAAGUCUGAACCAGCCAUGCCGCGUGCAGGAUGACGGCUCUAUGAGUUGUAAACUGCUUUUGUAUGAGGGUAAACUCGUCUACGAGUAGACGACUGAAAGUAUCAUACGAAUAAGGAUCGGCUAACUCCGUGCCAGCAGCCGCGGUAAUACGGAGGAUUCAAGCGUUAUCCGGAAUUAUUGGGUUUAAAGGGUGCGUAGGCGGUUUGAUAAGUCAGCGGUGAAAAGCCAGUGCUUAACAUUGGUCUUGCCGUUGAUACUGUUGGACUAGAGAAUAGUUGCGGUAGGCGGAAUGUAUGGUGUAGCGGUGAAAUGCUUAGAGAUCAUACAGAACACCGAUUGCGAAGGCAGCUUACCAAGCUAUAUCUGACGCUGAGGCACGAAAGCGUGGGGAGCAAACA